This 426-nucleotide ribosomal RNA is filed under the name uncultured bacterium. Its description in RNAcentral is "bacterial SSU rRNA". It matches the Rfam family "Bacterial small subunit ribosomal RNA", at positions 356 to 774 of the family's 1533-position model. The record is from RNAcentral.
GGGGAAUUUUGGACAAUGGGCGAAAGCCUGAUCCAGCCAUGCCGCGUGAGUGAAGAAGGCCUUCGGGUUGUAAAGCUCUUUUAGUCGGAAAGAAAGAGUUGCAAUGAAUAAUUGUGAUUUAUGACGGUACCGACAGAAAAAGCACCGGCUAACUACGUGCCAGCAGCCGCGGUAAUACGUAGGGUGCGAGCGUUAAUCGGAAUUACUGGGCGUAAAGGGUGCGCAGGCGGUCUUGCAAGUCAGAUGUGAAAGCCCCGGGCUUAACCUGGGAAUUGCGUUUGAAACUGCAAGACUAGAGUGCAGCAGAGGGGAGUGGAAUUCCAUGUGUAGCAGUGAAAUGCGUAGAGAUGUGGAAGAACACCGAUGGCGAAGGCAGCUCCCUGGGUUGACACUGACGCUCAUGCACGAAAGCGUGGGGAGCAAACA